UGCCUGGCGGCACUAGCGCGGUGGUCCCACCUGACCCCAUGCCGAACUCAGAAGUGAAACGCCGUAGCGCCGAUCGUAGUGUGGGGUCUCCCCAUGUGAGAGUAGGGAACUGCCAGGCAU
RNAcentral lists this ribosomal RNA (120 nucleotides) under Klebsiella pneumoniae subsp. pneumoniae. Lineage: Bacteria; Pseudomonadati; Pseudomonadota; Gammaproteobacteria; Enterobacterales; Enterobacteriaceae. The record is from RNAcentral.